GGAUUCCCCCUAGUAACUGCGAGUGAAGCGGGAAAAGCUCAAAUUUAAAAUCUGGCGGUCUCUGGCCGUCCGAGUUGUAAUCUAGAGAAGUAAUGCCCGUGCUGGACCGUGUAUAAGUCUCCUGGGAUGGGGCGUCAUAGAGGGUGAGAAUCCCGUCUUUGACACGGACUACCAGUGCAUUGUGGUAUGCUCUCAAAGAGUCGAGUUGUUUGGGAAUGCAGCUCAAAAUGGGUGGUAAAUUCCAUCUAAAGCUAAAUAUUGGCGAGAGACCGAUAGCGAACAAGUACCGUGAGGGAAAGAUGAAAAGAACUUUGGAAAGAGAGUUAAACAGUACGUGAAAUUGCUGAAAGGGAAACGCUUGAAGUCAGUCGCGUUGGCCGGGGAUCAGCCUUGCUUUUGCAUGGUGUACUUUCUGGUUGACGGGUCAGCAUCAAUUUUGACCGCUGGAAAAAGACCUGGGGAAUGUGGCAGCUUCGGCUGUGUUAUAGCCCCUAGUCGCAUACAGUGGUUGGGAUUGAGGAACUCAGCACGCCGCAAGGCCGGGUUUCGACCACGUUCGUGCUUAGGAUGCUGGCAUAAUGGCUCUAAGCGACCCGUCUUGAAACACGGACCAAGGAGUCUAACAUGCCUGCGAGUAUUUGGGUGGAAAACCCAAGUGCGUAAUGAAAGUGAAAGUUGAGAUCCCUGUCGUGGGGAGCAUCGACGCCCGGACCAGAACUUUUGGGACGGAUCCGCGGUGGAGCAUGUAUGUUGGGACCCGAAAGAUGGUGAACUAUGCCUGAAUAGGGUGAAGCCAGAGGAAACUCUGGUGGAGGCUCGUAGCGAUUCUGACGUGCAAAUCGAUCGUCAAAUUUGGGUAUAGGGGCGAAAGACU
Molecule: ribosomal RNA, 874 nt
Filed under: Agaricus hingganensis
Lineage: Eukaryota; Fungi; Basidiomycota; Agaricomycetes; Agaricales; Agaricaceae
Description: partial large subunit ribosomal RNA
Rfam family: Eukaryotic large subunit ribosomal RNA
Source: RNAcentral